Molecule: long non-coding RNA, 297 nt
Filed under: Rhagoletis pomonella (apple maggot)
Lineage: Eukaryota; Metazoa; Arthropoda; Insecta; Diptera; Tephritidae
Description: uncharacterized LOC118757189
Source: RNAcentral
AAUAUUCAACUGGAGAUACCUUGCUUUUUAUCGUUCCGGCCACCAGAUUCGUUGGUUUUCAUAAAGUUUCAUUUGCCUGUGCCACUUCCACCCGUGUUUAUAAGGCGUAAUAUUCAACUGGAGAUACCUUACUUUUUUAUCGUUCCGGCUGCUGUAUUAUCCGAUUCUUGUGUGUUGGUUGGUAUAUCGGAAGCUUUAGUGCAAGAUGUUCGAAGAAAAACUUAUAGCAGAGAUUGAAAAACACAACUGCUUGUGGGACAAACGACAGCUUAGUUACCGCGAUCGGGUGAAGAAAGA